Molecule: ribosomal RNA, 700 nt
Filed under: uncultured bacterium
Lineage: Bacteria
Description: bacterial SSU rRNA
Rfam family: Bacterial small subunit ribosomal RNA
Source: RNAcentral
AGAGUUUGAUCAUGGCUCAGGACGAACGCUGGCGGCGCGCUUAACACAUGCAAGUCGAACGGGUGUCCUUCGGGGCACCAGUGGCGGACGGGUGCGUAACACGUAAGCGACCUGCCUUCAGGUGGGGGAUAACCCCGGGAAACCGGGGCUAAUACCGCAUGUGUUCUCCGGGCUGCAUGGCCUGGAGAAGAAAGCUCCUCGCAAGGGGAGCGCUUGAAGAGGGGCUUGCGGCGUAUCAGCUAGUUGGCGAGGUAACGGCUCACCAAGGCGACGACGCGUAGGGGGUCUGAGAGGACGGCCCCCCACAUUGGGACUGAGAUACGGCCCAGACUCCUACGGGAGGCAGCAGUGGGGAAUCUUGCGCAAUGGCCGAAAGGCUGACGCAGCGACGCCGCGUGCGGGAGGAAGGCCUUCGGGUCGUAAACCGCUGUCGGGAGGGAAGAACUCCACCGGGAGGUAAUGCCUGGUGGCUGACGGUACCUCCAAAGGAAGCACCGGCUAACUCCGUGCCAGCAGCCGCGGUAAUACGGAGGGUGCAAGCGUUGUUCGGAAUUAUUGGGCGUAAAGCGCGCGCAGGCGGCCGCAUAAGUCCAUGGGUGAAAUGCCGGAGCUCAACUCCGUGCGUGCCCAGGAUACUGUGCGGCUGGAGACACGUAGAGGCAAGCGGAAUUCCGGGUGUAGCGGUGGAAUGCGUAGAGAU